This 651-nucleotide long non-coding RNA is filed under the name Homo sapiens (human). RNAcentral describes it as "HSALNT0098534". Lineage: Eukaryota; Metazoa; Chordata; Mammalia; Primates; Hominidae. The record is from RNAcentral.
GCCGGGGCAGGUCGCGCUCGCUGCCUUCUCCCCUGAAGAGAGACGCGGGGGGAGGGGGGUGCGGCGAGCGGCCCCGCUCUCUCCCCACCGCUCCGCUCGCACCCCAGUGUAAUGAGGGUCACCCCCUCCCCCCAGCUGGCCCGGGAGGGGGCGCGGGGCACGGUUGAUGCCGGCCCAGGAUGGAUCAGACCUGUGAACUACCCAGAAGAAAUUGUCUGCUGCCCUUUUCCAAUCCAGUGAAUUUAGAUGCCCCUGAAGACAAGGACAGCCCUUUCGGAUGAUCCAGAUUCCAGUACCAGUACAUUAGGAAACAUGCUAGAAUUACCUGGAACUUCAUCAUCAUCUACUUCACAGGAAUUGCCAUUUUGUCAACCUAAGAAAAAGUCUACGCCACUGAAGUAUGAAGUUGGAGAUCUCAUCUGGGCAAAAUUCAAGAGACGCCCAUGGUGGCCCUGCAGGAUUUGUUCUGAUCCGUUGAUUAACACACAUUCAAAAAUGAAAGUUUCCAACCGGAGGCCCUAUCGGCAGUACUACGUGGAGGCUUUUGGAGAUCCUUCUGAGAGAGCCUGGGUGGCUGGAAAAGCAAUCGUCAUGUUUGAAGGCAGACAUCAAUUCGAAGAGCUACCUGUCCUUAGGAGAAGAGGGAAACAG